UGUAGGCCCAAAUACGGAAACUGCUAGCAACGAAGGCCAUGGAGUGGAGGGAGGUCGCCGCAGGCGAGGGCGGAAGGGCGGCGACGCGGCGUGCGGCGGCGAGGGAGGAAGAAGAAGGCGAGGCAUUGCAUCUCCGCGGCUGCGCCAAGGCCAUUUCCAUCACGAUGUUCCUCAAUCAACGCCAUCGAGAAGGUGGCGGCGGAGGCCGCAUCCGGACCUCCGUCCGCCUCGUCGUCCCCAAGCACGUCGGCUCCGAGUCCGAGGGCACCGAGGUCGUCACCAGGCAGUGGCUGAAGUGAAAUUGUGAAUGAAAAUGGACGCUCUCCCGAAGCCAAAUAGGUGUUACAUCUUGUACUGCUCUCAUCUGUCUGUCCACUGGUUGCCAGUCUGCUUGGUUCAGUUAUUUCAGGUGACUAAAUAUAUCUACACCAUACCUUCAGCUGUGAUCAUUGUUCUUGCAAAUGACUGCAAUUGGUGUCUUCUUGAGCUAACAGCAAAUCUUGAGGUAUGGAUCUCUGAUGUGGUGCAUCUCUCAUCGUCAUUCAGUCACUGGGUAUGCUUUGAGGAGAUUGUCAAAACAGCAAUGUCCAAGGUUUUAUCGCUAAGAGCAUCCAUUAGGCUUCAUGUAAAUAUCUCAAGCAAGAAUAUGCUCGGACUGUAUACAUCACCAGUCACUAUGAUAUCGAAGCAUCCCCCCAUUCCAAACUACAGGGAAACAACACAUUUCUAUUGUUUGAUUUAUGUACUGUUGGGUACAUUUUACAUAACCAAUCCACGUGUAUAAAUCUGAAAUUAAGAAAUGCAUAUUGUUGAGUACAGAAUAAUAGAGUUGAAGUUUUGCAAAUUACUGCAGAACUUUUGCUACUCCUCCAUGUUCUGCUCAAGAGGUCUGGCAAACAUAAGGAUAUUCCAAGACCAAUGACAGCAACCAAUCAAUUUUCAAUUCUACUUCUUGUGGUUUCAUCAUAGGCAUCUGUAUGCAACCACAUUUUUGUGUCGACUAUCUCCCAGAUUCGCUCUGGAAGAGCAUCCUCUGAAAACUUGUGCAGAUCCAAUGAUCCUGUGAACAUGUCAUCAGUUGGGCUCCUUCCUGUAAACAUCUCAAGCAGCAAUAUGCCGAGGCUAUAAACAUCUCCAAGAGCUGAAACAGAAGAACCUUCACCAUACUCUGUAAUUAUGCAAAUAAAGCAUGGCAUGUUUAUAGAAGAACUAGGGUUUUACUUUCUCUUUCUGGAAGGAUUCUUGAUAUGCCGAAGUCUCCAACUCGGGCACUCAUAUCUUCUGCAAGAAGGAUGUUGCUUGGCUUGAGAUCACAAUGAAUGAUUGAUGGCUGACAGUGAUUGUGAAGAUAAUCCAAAGCAUCCAUGAUAUCAACAGAUAUAUCAAGCCUUUGUGCUAGGCUGAGAGUAUUGGUCACCGUGGGCAUUCCAGAUUUUGGAUGAAGCCAAUCACUUAAGCUACCAUUUGGCAUGAACUCAAAAACCAGAGCCUUGAACUCUUGGCCUUGGUGAUUGAUGCUUGAGCAGCAUGUAAUGAUUUUUAUGAGACAACGGUGACGCACCCUUCUCAGCGCUUCACAUUCAGCAACAAAACUUCUAGUAGAUCCGGAUUGCUCAAGAUAAACUGGAUAUGUGCAAUACCUAAAGCUAAGAACAAGAGUGCACUGGUUGCUACAAGAGCUAUCAUAACAGAUCUGAACCACCCUUUUAUGCCAUUUUUGGUUGAAUAUAUGUGGCAAGGAGCUAAAUGAAGCUGAGGUAUUCCACCACACAGAUUAUUAUUUCCGGAGACUAGGGAUUGGCCCUGACAAGUUGUUGUGUGCCAGAUACAGCACUUGCAGGUCGUGGAUACUUCCAAUGGCAUCAGGAAUAGUACCAGAUAAUUUAUUCAUGGAUAGGUUGAGUGCAUUCAGACCCUUUACAUUCUUCAGAGUGUGCGGUAUGGAUCCCUGGAAUGAAUUACUGUCGAGAAAAAGUUCUUGUAGCACGGUACAGUCCCCGAUAUUCUCUGGUAUCUCACCACUCAGCAGGUUUCCUGACAGAUAUAAGCUGUUAAGAUUUCUCAAGUUACCGACUUCAGAUGGAAGGGGCCCUGAUAAUGAAUUGUGUGAUAAGGCUAAGUAUAUAGAAAUGACUGGUAGUUUGAAAAGUUCUUUGGGGAUUGAACCAUUCAGAUGGUUCCUUGACAAGUCAAGGAGUGUCAGACUCUUCAGCUUCCCUAAGCUUGAUGGAAUCGCACCCUCUAAGUUGCAAUUGUCUGCAUACAGUUUAGUCAAUUGUGACAGGUUUCCAAUAGAUGAAGGUAUGAUCCCAGAAAAGUUGGUGUUGUAUAAACUGAGCGAGCCUAAGUUUCCUAACUUGCCGAUGCUCUCUGGAAUCUCACCGGAUAUGGAAGUAUUCGCUGCGCUAAAUAUUUGGAGGUUAACAAGGUUGCCAAUGUCUGAGGGGAGGCUUCCUGAGAUUCCAUUGAAUCCGACACUGAGCAUUUGCAUAGUCUGUGAGAGAUUCACAAUUGAACAUGGCAUCUGCCCAGUGAAAGCGACAUUGGAGUGCAUAACUAAUUGCUCGAGCUGGCUGCAAUUUGUCAACGAAGUGAUGAAUUCCCACCCUUCCUUGUCAUUUGCUUGUAGCAUGUUGUCGUACAAGUAUAGAGUCUGCAGAGCUCGCAACAUUCCCAGUGGGGGAGGCACAUAUCCACUGAGCCUGUUCUGUUCGAGAAAGAGUAUCCUUAGAGUAGUGAGGUUGGAGAGUGAAGCAGGGAUGGAUCCGGUGAACUGGUUUGUCGCAAAGCUGAGAAACUUCAUGUUGGGAAAUUUGCUGCCAAUAUCGGCAGGAAUGCUCCCAUGGAGCAUGUUACCCCGGAGGUCCAGCAUUUUCAAUGAAGAUAGGUUGUACAAGGAGUUUGGGGGUUCACCAGAGAGAUUGUUUUCGUCGACCAAAAGCACUUGGAGGCCUCGGAUGCUGCCAAGGCCAGGAGGGAUGGUUCCCUCGAGACAGUUUUGUACGAGGACCAGAUAAGUCAGUGAUGAUAAGUUGGCCAGUGACACUGGGAUGACGCCGGUGAGACUGUUGUUCCACAAGUCAAGGAUCAUGAGGCGCGUCAGCUCGUCACCGAACUCCGGUGGCACACGCCCACGGAGCUGGUUGGAUCGGAGGGCCAUGAACAUCAGAUCGGUGCAGGAGCUUAGGUUGGCAGGGAUAUCACCAGAGAAGGCGUUGUUGCUCAGGUCGAGGAUGUGGAGGUGGUGCAGGCGGCCGAGGCUCGCGGGGAUGCCCCCGCUGAUGAACCAGUUGGAGCUCAGGUUGAGGAGCCUGAGGGAUGAUAGGUUUCCGACCGCAGGCGAGAGGACGCCGGUGAGCCCAUGGGAUGGCAGGCUCAGCGCCACCACUCGACGGUGCCUGCCCUGGCACCUCACCCCCUCCCAGUUGCAGUAUCCACCAUCGGUGCUCCCGUUCCAGGAAGCGAGCACGUCGCUGGUGCCGCCGAUCGCUGCCGCCUUGAAGGCCAGCAACGCAGCCUCAUCGUCGGCGUCGGCGGCUGGGAGUGUGGAGAAGAACAUGGAGGUGGUCGGCAGCAGCAGCAAGCACGCCCAGCGAAUUGCCAUGCUGGUUUCUUUGGUGGUACGCUUUGGGGAAUUGAUGGGCUACAAUUAGUGUAUGACUGUAAAUGUGUAAGUACAGGCAGGGUGCUGGUGCUAUUUACAGAAGAAGUGGAUCAGGUAUACCAAUUACCGUGUUCCACGGUGUCAUGUACACAAGCGGUUGCUAAAACCACAGUGUUGGGUACGCCAGUGUUCACUAGCUAGCUUCCUUGUCACUUGUCAGUACUGAGAGUUCAGGUUCAGGACCUGCCACAUGAUGAACCAAUAAUGCUAUGCCAGACAGGUAGGUACAAGAAAUGUGUCACCCCCCAGCCCUGGCAUUCUUAUCGCUGUGUUGUUUGUUUCCAUCUGGUGUGAUGCUAAUUGUAGCCAACGUGUAGACCGCAGUGGGUGCUGCUUGAUGGCACCUCGUGUGUAAAAUUCUUUGGCAUCGUACUGAUUGGGUGACCGUAGAGGUUUCUUGAAUUCACCAUUUACUGAUGUCGUGGCGUGUCAUUUUUGUCAA
Long non-coding RNA from Panicum virgatum (switchgrass), 4106 nucleotides. RefSeq lists it as uncharacterized. The record is from RefSeq and is a predicted model, not a curated record. The transcript has 8 exons. Lineage: Eukaryota; Viridiplantae; Streptophyta; Magnoliopsida; Poales; Poaceae.